GGUGAGGUGCCGGAGUUGGUCGAACGGGCCGGUUUCGAAAACCGGUGUACCCGCAAGGGUACCUAGGGUUCGAAUCCCUACCUCACCGCCA
RNAcentral lists this transfer RNA (91 nucleotides) under Planctomycetota bacterium. Its description in RNAcentral is "Planctomycetes bacterium tRNA-Ser". It matches the Rfam family "tRNA". From Rfam's summary of the family: Transfer RNA (tRNA) molecules are approximately 80 nucleotides in length. Their secondary structure includes four short double-helical elements and three loops (D, anti-codon, and T loops). Further hydrogen bonds mediate the characteristic L-shaped molecular structure. tRNAs have two regions of fundamental functional importance: the anti-codon, which is responsible for specific mRNA codon recognition, and the 3' end, to which the tRNAs corresponding amino acid is attached (by aminoacyl-tRNA synthetases). tRNAs cope with the degeneracy of the genetic code in two manners: having more than one tRNA (with a specific anti-codon) for a particular amino acid; and 'wobble' base-pairing, i.e. permitting non-standard base-pairing at the 3rd anti-codon position. Lineage: Bacteria; Pseudomonadati; Planctomycetota. The record is from RNAcentral.